UACGAAGGGGGCUAGCGUUGUUCGGAAUGACUGGGCGUAAAGGGCGCGUAGGCGGCGAUCUUAGUCAGGCGUGAAAGCCCUGGGCUUAACCUAGGAAUUGCGUUUGAUACUGGGUUGCUGGAGUGCGGGAGAGGAUGGUGGAAUUCCCAGUGUAGAGGUGAAAUUCGUAGAUAUUGGGAAGAACACCGGUGGCGAAGGCGGCCAUCUGGCCUGGAAUUGACGCUGAGGCGCGAAAGCGUGGGGAGCAAACAGG
RNAcentral lists this ribosomal RNA (253 nucleotides) under uncultured bacterium. RNAcentral describes it as "partial 16S ribosomal RNA". It matches the Rfam family "Bacterial small subunit ribosomal RNA", at positions 524 to 776 of the family's 1533-position model. The record is from RNAcentral.